This 887-nucleotide long non-coding RNA is filed under the name Prunus persica (peach). RNAcentral's name for it is "long non-coding RNA (PPER_LNC002397)". Lineage: Eukaryota; Viridiplantae; Streptophyta; Magnoliopsida; Rosales; Rosaceae. The record is from RNAcentral.
GGACUUUAAUCACACUCUCAUCAGCUCACCACUUAUAUUUCAACACUUCUUCAAGGACUCUCUCUCUCUCUCUUGGAUCUAUCGACCCCCAUGGGUUGAAGUGACUAAUCCCAAACAAAAUUUGUUGUGUCCCCUUCAGAAGAUGUUUAGAGCUCUUGCUCAGGUGCUUGCACUACCUCCUUCCAUUCUUAGGUUGUUACCACCUCCUUCCUUGCUUAGGAUGUUGGUUUCUUUGGCUUUGGGAAGUGUUUUCCCGGGUUUGCUCUUGGAUUGACUGCUGUUUCCUUCUUGGGAUUUUGGGGGUUUCGUUUUUGAAGGAGUUAAUUAGUCUUUGAUGCUCAGUUCAUGUAUUGUGAAGGAUUUUCGGAUUUGUAGUUUUUGUAUUUGUUUUAUGUGUUUUGGUGUGUUUGCAGUUCUUGCACUUAUCAUUAGUCAUGGUGGUGAUGUCUCAGUCUUCAUGGAAGCAACGGCAACGGUACUUUGGCAUUUGUUGGUGUUUCUACUUUUGGUUGGCUCUGGCUUUAUACAAGUUUUGGACUCUAACUUUAUGUUAGUUUUGCGCUCUGGCUUUAUGCCAGUUGUAGAAUUUAUGCAUGUUUAAGUUUGAUUUCUAGUGGGCUUUUACUGUUGCAUUUGUUUGGACUCAUUUUUAUGAGUUGCAAUAUCAUGUAAUUGGCAUUGCCUUUCUAUUAAUCAAACUUGAUUCCGACCAAAAAAAAAAGAGAGGAAAGAGAAUGUGGAUAUAUACUAACAAUUAUAGAUCCAUCGUUGCCAGAAUUUGAGGCGUGUUCCACUCGGGAAUGCAGAAGGCAUAAAUCCUUCCAUCGGGAAUACCCCAUUUUGGUCUUCAGUGAAGAUCAAUUGUGGGCAAUACUGAAUUAAUUCCC